GACUGCUGACACUGCUGCAGGAUUUGCUUUGCAGGCACAAGUACAUACAGAUGGAAUUGCUCUCGCUCCUGCCUUUUGCCACAACCAGAAGAAGUAGUGGGAAAAUCUGAGAUGAAACAGCUUCUGCUAACAUACCUGGUUGAACAUUGUGUGCCUUGCCCUCUUUUACUUCAGCAGUGUCAUUCAGAAGCAAGCACAGUGGAAUCAGUGGAUGAUGUUCAGACAAAGCUGAUGUGAGAAGAGAUUGAGACUCUCUGUCUGAGGUGAGACAGAUAAAUUGCGAGAGAGUAACGGAGAAAUGCAUGAGAUGCGUGAGUAUCUAAAGUCUGAGCUUUUCAAACAUGCUGGCUAAAACAGUGAAGAAGGUAUGAAGCUUCAUUUGCUGCCAACAUUUAUAGCUCAGUACUUGCUUUGUUUUCGCUCAGUGAAAUACAAGGCAGAAUUAACUUUGUAACAGAACAUAGGCAAAAAUCUGGAUAAUUGUGUUAUUGGGAAAGAAUAAAAAUAAAAUAAA
This is a long non-coding RNA of Cygnus atratus (black swan), 514 nucleotides long. RefSeq lists it as uncharacterized. The record is from RefSeq and is a predicted model, not a curated record. Lineage: Eukaryota; Metazoa; Chordata; Aves; Anseriformes; Anatidae. The transcript is spliced from 2 exons.